Gordionus sp. m RMFG-2023 is the source of this 426-nucleotide long non-coding RNA. RefSeq lists it as uncharacterized. Lineage: Eukaryota; Metazoa; Nematomorpha; Gordioida; Chordodea; Parachordodidae. The record is from RefSeq and is a predicted model, not a curated record. The transcript has 3 exons.
UUAAUUCUAUAGUUUAAAUAUGAGUUCUUUUUGAUUUCAGCGAAAAAUUACAUUUAAAAAAAACAAAGAAAACAUCAACAAUGACAAUUAGACUAUUUAAAAAUGAAAGGAUGCCUUCAACCUUGCCAUUAUCAAUAAAUUCCUAUAUCACAUUAAAAGAUGCAUGUUUGUCUAUGACCCGUCCUGAAGAAAACGAUCCUCACUGUGUGGUUUUUAUUCAAAACCUUGGUUAAUUAAUUUUAGCAUUUCAAUUUAAAAAAUAUUGCACAUUGAGAAGGAUAUCAAAUUAUAUGAAUAUUUGGGACCGAAGAAAAUAAUAAUACCCAUCUUAUGAGAUUUAAUCAUAUCAUGAUAUUGAACCUUACAUAUUCUAUUACCGGUUUGGUAUUUUUUGACGAAAAUAAAAUGAAUAUAUUAUAUUUUCAA